Molecule: non-coding RNA, 73 nt
Organism: Cordylochernes scorpioides
Lineage: Eukaryota; Metazoa; Arthropoda; Arachnida; Pseudoscorpiones; Chernetidae
Source: the annotation of a GenBank genome assembly
GUUUCUGUUGUAUAGUGGUUAUCACAUUCGUAUAACAUGCCAAAGGUCACAGUUUCGAGCCCUGGCAGAAACA